AGUGAACGCUGGCGGUAGGCCUAACACAUGCCAGUCGAACGGCAGCACAGUAAGAGCUUGCUCUUACGGGUGGCGAGUGGCGGACGGGUGAGGAAUACAUCGGAAUCUACUUUUUCGUGGGGGAUAACGUAGGGAAACUUACGCUAAUACCGCAUACGACCUACGGGUGAAAGCAGGGGAUCUUCGGACCUUGCGCGAUUGAAUGAGCCGAUGUCGGAUUAGCUAGUUGGCGGGGUAAAGGCCCACCAAGGCGACGAUCCGUAGCUGGUCUGAGAGGAUGAUCAGCCACACUGGAACUGAGACACGGUCAAGACUCCUACGGGAGGCAGCAGUGGGGAAUAUUGGACAAUGGGCGCAAGCCUGAUACAGCCAUACCGCGUGGGUGAAGAAGGCCUUCGGGUUGUAAAGCCCUUUUGUUGGGAAAGAAAAGCAGCAGGUUAAUACCCCGCUGUUCUGACGGUACCCAAAGAAUAAGCACCGGCUAACUUCGUG
This 492-nucleotide ribosomal RNA is filed under the name uncultured bacterium. RNAcentral's name for it is "partial 16S ribosomal RNA". It matches the Rfam family "Bacterial small subunit ribosomal RNA", at positions 29 to 507 of the family's 1533-position model. The record is from RNAcentral.